AGACAUGAGAUUUAUGUCAAAACCAUGGUCGACCAAAGCAACUAUUGGUUCUUCUAUAUCUCCUAACUUCACCAAUACCUCAGUAGUUGCUCUUGCCCAAUGCUUUCAAGUAUAAUGGCUCAAAGUUUCCAUUUCCUUGUCACUAGAAUCUUCAAAACAUAUUCGUUGAUUAUACCCAUUCUUUUCAUUUGUUGGUUGCUUGUAACCAAUAUCAACCUCUUCUUCAUCUUUAUAUAUUCUUGC
This 243-nucleotide long non-coding RNA is filed under the name Physcomitrium patens. RNAcentral describes it as "long non-coding RNA (PPAT_LNC014946)". Lineage: Eukaryota; Viridiplantae; Streptophyta; Bryopsida; Funariales; Funariaceae. The record is from RNAcentral.